This 251-nucleotide ribosomal RNA is filed under the name uncultured bacterium. RNAcentral describes it as "partial 16S ribosomal RNA". It matches the Rfam family "Bacterial small subunit ribosomal RNA", at positions 524 to 776 of the family's 1533-position model. The record is from RNAcentral.
UACGUAGGGUGCGAGCGUUAAUCGGAAUUACUGGGCGUAAAGCGUGCGCAGGCGGUUCGUUGUGUCGGCGGUGAAAGCCCCGGGCUUAACCUGGGAAUGGCCGUUGAAACUGGCGAACUGGAGUGUGGCAGAGGGGGUGGAAUUCCGCGUGUAGCAGUGAAUGCGUAGAGAUGCGGAGGAACACCGAUGGCGAAGGCAGCCCCCUGGGCUAACACUGACGCUCAGGCACGAAAGCGUGGGGAGCAAACAGG